This 347-nucleotide ribosomal RNA is filed under the name uncultured bacterium. Its description in RNAcentral is "bacterial SSU rRNA". It matches the Rfam family "Bacterial small subunit ribosomal RNA", at positions 8 to 349 of the family's 1533-position model. The record is from RNAcentral.
AGAGUUUGAUCAUGGCUCAGGAUGAACGCUAGCUACAGGCUUAACACAUGCAAGUCGAGGGGCAGCAUGUUGGUUGCUUGCAGCCAACGAUGGCGACCGGCGCACGGGUGAGUAACGCGUAUCCAACCUACCCUUGUCCAUCGGAUAACCCGUCGAAAGGCGGCCUAACACGAUAUGCGGUUCACAGCAGGCAUCUAACGUGAACGAAUGUAAAGGAGAAGGAUGGGGAUGCGUCUGAUUAGCUUGUUGGCGGGGUAACGGCCACCAAGGCGACGAUCAGUAGGGGUUCUGAGAGGAAGGUCCCCCCANAUUGGAACUGAGACACGGUCCAAACUCCUACGGGAGCA